UUUCCGGUUGAUCCUGCCGGAGGUUACUGCUAUCGGGGUCCGACUAAGCCAUGCGAGUUGAAUGUCCGAAAGGGCAUAGCGCACUGCUCAGUAACACGUGGACAACCUGCCCUGAGGACUGGAAUAAUCCCGGGAAACUGGGGGUAAUUCCAGAUAUGUCAGAACUCCUGGAAUGGGUUCUGGCAGAAAGGCUCCGGCGCCUCAGGAUGGGUCUGCGGCCUAUCAGGGUAGUAGUGGGUGUAACGUACCUACUAGCCUACGACGGGUACGGGUUGUGAGAGCAAGAGCCCGGAGAUGGAUUCUGAGACAUGAAUCCAGGCCCUACGGGGUGCAGCAGGCGCGAAAACUUUACAAUGCGGGCAACCGCGAUAAGGGGACCUCGAGUGCUGGGUUACAAACCUGGCUGUUGGGCUGCCUAAAAAGCAGUCUAUAGCAAGGGCCGGGCAAGACCGGUGCCAGCCGCCGCGGUAGCACCGGCGGCUCGAGUGGUAACCGCUAUUAUUGGGUCUAAAGGGUCUGUAGCCGGCCGCCUAAGUCUCUUGGGAAAUCUGGCAUCUCAAGUGUCAGGCUGCCAGGGGAUACUGGUCGGCUUGGGACCGGGAGAGGUGAGAGGUACCUCGGGGGUAGGGGUGAAAUCUUGUAAUCCUCGAGGGACCACCAGUGGCGAAGGCGUCUCACCAGAACGGAUCCGACGGCAAGGGACGAAAGCUAGGGGCACGAACCGGAUUAGAUACCCGGGUAGUCCUAGCCGUAAACGAUACUCGCUAGGUGUCGGCCACGGUGCGACCGUGGUCGGUGCCGUAGGGAAGCCGUGAAGCGAGCCACCUGGGAAGUACGGCCGCAAGGCUGAAACUUAAAGGAAUUGGCGGGGGAGCACAA
This 879-nucleotide ribosomal RNA is filed under the name uncultured Methanosaeta sp. Its description in RNAcentral is "bacterial SSU rRNA". It matches the Rfam family "Archaeal small subunit ribosomal RNA", at positions 1 to 881 of the family's 1478-position model. The record is from RNAcentral. Lineage: Archaea; Methanobacteriati; Methanobacteriota; Methanomicrobia; Methanotrichales; Methanotrichaceae.